This 46-nucleotide non-coding RNA is filed under the name Schistosoma mattheei. The record is from RNAcentral. Lineage: Eukaryota; Metazoa; Platyhelminthes; Trematoda; Strigeidida; Schistosomatidae.
GCACUGCUGAGGAGUCCCGGACUAGGACGAAACGGCCGUCCAGUGC